Nematostella vectensis (starlet sea anemone) is the source of this 612-nucleotide long non-coding RNA. RefSeq lists it as uncharacterized. The record is from RefSeq and is a predicted model, not a curated record. Lineage: Eukaryota; Metazoa; Cnidaria; Anthozoa; Actiniaria; Edwardsiidae. The transcript is spliced from 2 exons.
AGCAUUUUGUGCAUAGCACAUGUCCACAACCGGUAACUAAGGGAUGAAGGUAAACUUUACGGCAGUAAGAACACAGAAAUUCCGACGGUACUGGAUCAUCGAAGUACUCCAAGUCAACCCCCAUGGAUGUACUCCUUCGAGUGGUCGCGAACGUAAACGAAUACCUCAAGUGUAAUAAUAUACGGUAUCACUUAUGGUGACGAUUUGUGUUCAUUCAACUGUGACGAUUUUGCGCGCUCUUUGAACAAGUGCUAAAAAAUAAAUGCACAUUCAGAAUUUCUCCCAGAUUUCGCAAGUUGUUCAAAUAAAUUUCUAAAUUUAAAUUUGAACAUUAAAGCCGCAUUGUCACCAGUUUAUGAGCCGUGUUUAUGAGUUGUUUGCCAGAGUUUACUUUAAAGAUUGACACGCAGCGGGCGUUAGAACAAACAAACAAUUUGAUAGCAGGCAGGGAAUCAUGAGCGAAACGGAAAGCCAGUUAACUGCUGGGAUACCAUUUCAAUGCAGUCCUCAUUUUACGGCAUUUUCUACACGAAUUCUGUGGUGGAAGGGGACGAACUCUUCCUAACCGCCAUUGUCCCAGUAGUGACCUUCGGCAGAAUACGAAAACAAAAA